UCUUCAUUGUGUGAAUAGCCCCCUUUUCUUGGCUCCAGGGCUUUUGCCUGCACACAGCAGACACAACAGUCCGUCCGGGCACCUGACCCACAGCCGCAGCAGCAGCAAAGGCAGUGUGGAGGAGAUCAUGUCACAGCCAAAGCAGAAGGAGCUGGCAGGCAGCGUGCGGCAGAAGAUGCUUCUCGACUACAGUGUGUACAUGGGCAGGUGUGUCCCCCAGGAAAGCCGAAGCCCCCAGAGGAGCCCCCUGCAGAGUGCGGAGAGCAGCCCCACAGCUGGGAAGAAGUUGCCAGAGGUUCCACCCUCUGAGGAGGAAGAACAGGAAGCCUGGGUGAAUGCCUUGCUUGGAAGAAUAUUUUGGGACUUCUUAGGAGAGAAAUACUGGUCUGAUCUGGUGUCUAAGAAGAUCCAAAUGAAACUCAGCAAAAUAAAGCUCCCCUACUUUAUGAAUGAGCUCACUCUGACGGAACUUGACAUGGGCGUGGCUGUGCCAAAGAUUCUCCAGGCCUUCAAGCCUUACGUUGAUCACCAAGUUGCAGGCCCCGGGCAUUCUG
Molecule: small RNA, 554 nt
Filed under: Pongo abelii (Sumatran orangutan)
Lineage: Eukaryota; Metazoa; Chordata; Mammalia; Primates; Hominidae
Description: retained intron
Source: RNAcentral